AUAAUACUCCCUCUGUCCCAAAAUUCUUGUCUUAGAUUUGUCUAGAUACGGAUGUAUCUAAUAGAUACGGAUGUACUAAUACUAAAAUGUGAUGUAUCUAAUACUAAAAUGUGACUUGAUAUAUCCGCAUCUAACAAAUCUAAGACAAGAAUUUUGGGACGGAGGGAGUAGUGA
Molecule: non-coding RNA, 174 nt
Organism: Triticum aestivum (bread wheat)
Lineage: Eukaryota; Viridiplantae; Streptophyta; Magnoliopsida; Poales; Poaceae
Source: Rfam